CCUCUAGAGUUUUAUCCUGGCUCAGAGUGAACGCUGGCGGUAGGCCUAACACAUGCAAGUCGAACGGCAGCACAGGAGAGCUUGCUCUCUGGGUGGCGAGUGGCGGACGGGUGAGGAAUACAUCGGAAUCUAGUCUGUUGUGCGGGGAUAACGUAGGGAAACUUACGGUAAUACUGCGUACGACCUACGGGUGAAAGCAGCCGACCUUCGGGCCUUGCGCGAUUGAAUGAGCCGAUGUCGGAUUAGCUAGUUGGCGGGGUAAAGGCCCACCAAGGCGACGAUCCGUAGCUGGUCUGAGAGGAUGAUCAGCCACACUGGAACUGAGACACGGUCCAGACUCCUACGGGAGGCAGCAGUGGGGAAUAUUGGACAAUGGGCGCAAGCCUGAUCCAGCCAUACCGCGUGGGUGAAGAAGGCCUUCGGGUUGUAAAGCCCUUUUGUUGGGAAAGAAAUCCAGCUGGCUAAUACCCGGUUGCGAUGACGGUACCCAAAGAAUAAGCACCGGCUAACUUCGUGCCAGCAGCCGCGGUAAUACGAAGGGUGCAAGCGUUAUUCGGAAUUACUGGGCGUAAAGCGUGCGUAGGUGGUUAUUUAAGUCCGUUGUGAAAGCCCUGGGCUCAACCUGGGAACUGCAGUGGAUACUGGAUGACUAGAAUGUGGUAGAGGGUAGCGGAAUUCCUGGUGUAGCAGUGAAAUGCGUAGAGAUCAGGAGGAACAUCCAUGGCCAAACCAGCUACCGGGACCAACAUUGACACUGAGGCACCAAAGCGUGGGGAGCAAACAGCAUUAGAUACCCUGGUAGUCCACGCCCUAAACGAUGAAAACUGGAUGUUGGGUGCAAUUUGGCACGCAGUAUCGAAGCUAACGCGUUAAGUUCUCCGCCUGGGGAGUACGGUCGCAAGACUGAAACUCAAAGGAAUUGACGGGGGCCCGCACAAGCGGUGGAGUAUGUGGUUUAAUUCGAUGCAACGCGAAGAACCUUACCUGGCCUUGACAUGUCGAGAACUUUCCAGAGAUGGAUUGGUGCCUUCGGGAACUCAAACACAGGUGCUGCAUGGCUGUCGUCAGCUCGUGUCGUGAGAUGUUGGGUUAAGUCCCGCAACGAGCGCAACCCUUGUCCUUAGUUGCCAGCACGUAAUGGUGGGAACUCUAAGGAGACCGCCGUGACGAAGCGGAUGAAUGUGGGGAUGACGUCAACUCAUUCUUGCCGUUACGGUGAGGGCCACACGCAUCACUCAAUGGUUCGGUCACGGCAGCACAAUCGUCAAAUCAGAGGACAAAUAACAAUGAGCAGUGAUCUAUAUGAAAAUUCUAUUCUAGGGCGGACCAAAACAGGUUGAAAGACGGGUAGGGGCGAUCU
Molecule: ribosomal RNA, 1360 nt
Filed under: Stenotrophomonas maltophilia
Lineage: Bacteria; Pseudomonadati; Pseudomonadota; Gammaproteobacteria; Lysobacterales; Lysobacteraceae
Description: partial 16S ribosomal RNA
Rfam family: Bacterial small subunit ribosomal RNA
Source: RNAcentral